This 341-nucleotide transfer-messenger RNA is filed under the name Methylotenera sp. It matches the Rfam family "Betaproteobacteria transfer-messenger RNA". From Rfam's summary of the family: Bacterial tmRNA, also known as 10Sa RNA or SsrA, is named for its dual tRNA and mRNA-like properties. Its role is to liberate the mRNA from a stalled ribosome. Lineage: Bacteria; Pseudomonadati; Pseudomonadota; Betaproteobacteria; Nitrosomonadales; Methylophilaceae. The record is from RNAcentral.
UUUUAAUAAAAUCGUUGACAUUUUCCAUUUCCUGUUGUAUUAUAUAAAUAACAAUAUAGCUGUUAUCCCACUUAAACUGAACAAGUUCAAGACGGGAGUUCGACUCUCCCCAGCUCCACGAUUAUUUAUGCCCAUUCCACAUGGGGCUGUCAUGGUUUCGAUUGGGUUUUAUUAGGAAUAAGAGGCAGCUCGAGAGAUGACUGACGUAAUCAGCAUAAAAUUAAAGUAAUCGCAAAUGAUGAUACUUUCGCUGUAGCAAUCGCUGCUUAAUACCAGCCGCUACUGGGGUCAAACCGCCUUAUAAACCAAUGGUUGAAAAUACCUCCUUCAGGAGGUAUUUU